This 970-nucleotide long non-coding RNA is filed under the name Homo sapiens (human). Its description in RNAcentral is "long non-coding RNA NONHSAT206658.1". The record is from RNAcentral. Lineage: Eukaryota; Metazoa; Chordata; Mammalia; Primates; Hominidae.
UGGCCAGGCUAGUCUGGAGCUCCUGACCUCGUGAUCUGCCUGCCUCGGCCUCCCAAAAUGCUGGGAUUACAGGCGUGAGCCACCGUACCCAACCUUAAUAAGAACAAGCUAGGCACCUAGGGUGUCAAAUUGAAGGAGGCUCUGAUUCUCAGGGCCGCGCAAAUGCAGGGUUGGCACCUAUGCGUGUGGCCCUCCUGAAAUUUUGUGCCUUAGGCACCUGGCUUGCUUCUCCCUAAUUCAGGCCCUCAGGAGAAAGCUCUAAUUCUGGUCAAUUUGAAACAGGAGGGCACGGCUUCUGGGCGACGCUCCGUGCUCCAGAGAGAGCCAUUUGUCUGUUCCCUUCCUCUGGACGUCACCGUGCCAACAUGAAAUGCUUCCAAUUGAGUCCAGCCUGAGAUGGAAGGGGGUGGGGGGAUAUCUGAUGACAUCACGAACUGCUGCAUCAACUCCCCCGAGUCCCUGCCUCUGGAUCCCCUGAUAGAGGACACAAGGAGUGUCCUGAGCCCGUGUGACUCAGUGUCUCUUCCCAUCACUUUGCGGGAAAAUGGGGCUGCUUACACCACACCGCAGCCCAAACACCUGUGGCUAGAGAAGGGCUUGGGUACUAGGAGUGAGGACGCCUGGUUCUGGGCCCAGGACUAGUACUAGUUAGUGGUGGGACCUGGAACAAAUGCUUUGGUUCUAAGUGAAUCCCCCAUAUUCAUGACAAGAGGCGUGGAACACAGACCCAUGGGGCCUUCCCACUGGAACAGGGAGCUUGGCUGUCACCCGACCUUCGCUUCCUUAAGUAGAAAAGCCCAGGGUUCCAGGCUCCGUCUCCUUUCCCGCAGACGCCUUGUUUCUUCGCGCGGAGGCCCUGGACGCCGCAGGCUCCCAACCUACUUCUCUGGGCUGUCAGGUUCUGAACCCGGUCCUGAAGAGGCCCUGGCGCCGGGGGUGGGUGAGGCCGAGCGCGCGCCUUGGGAACCUG